GAGAGAGAGAGGCACAAGUCGGUGACCCAAGAUAUAAACCGGUCCAUUGCCCGCCCGAACUCACUCUUCUGUCGUGCUCUCAGGAGGUACAGUAUUCGACAGUGGGGGCGGUUGGAAGGUUUCUUAACGAAAAGACGUGAGAGCGUGUGUAAAACUGGUCUUCGCUUCCCAGACUCAUCGUAAUGGACAUGAAAGUGCUACUGCUGGUAUUCUUGUUGUGCGUGCUUGCCCUGGUAUCUGUCGACGCACAAAGUUUCAUCAACCUCCAGAGACGGAAAAAGCCCGGCGAGAGGCGCUACGGCGCGACACACUAUGGGGCACACAAAUUUGGCAAGAAAGGAUACGCAAACUUACGACCUAGACCAAACAGGGCCAAGACAACUGGAUAACUGGUCUAGCAUCGACAUCUCAGGCUUUCUGAAAGUACAAAAUAGUUUCCCAAGCUCAGAGUCCUUCCAAAGUUCACCGUUACCAGAUCACUUGUGUGGACCAUGGAAUCCAAUGAAGUUAUGAUGAUGUUAGCAAGUCAGUCAUAAUUGAAAAUGUGCUCACAUUCAUAUGUAUUACCACAGAUGGGUUUUCUGGCAGCUUCCACAGAACUGAAGAUCCAUACAAGAGAAAACUUAGUGUACAACACGGAUAAAAUUAAAAUCGGGUUCACAGACUACAACUUUGUCACAGCAAUCCAAGAACAUCAAAUGACAUCUUCAUAUAGGACUUCAAGAAGCAUAGUUUUGGAAGGUCCAAGGGAUUUUACAACCAAAAGCAAGAGCCAAGAUUCCAUUCUGCUGGAAAAGAACCUUGUAAACACUAAAUGGAUGGAGGAACUGUUACUAUAGAUGAGACUAUUCCUUUGAUGGAAGUGUACCUGUUAUAUUUUUUCACUGCUAUGUUAAGUUGUUUCAGUUAUGUAGUUUAAGACUUGGUUAAGUAACAUUCAAACUAAAAAUAA
Macrobrachium nipponense is the source of this 952-nucleotide long non-coding RNA. RefSeq lists it as uncharacterized. The record is from RefSeq and is a predicted model, not a curated record. The transcript has 4 exons. NCBI's taxonomy places the organism in Eukaryota, Metazoa, Arthropoda, Malacostraca, Decapoda, Palaemonidae.